CACCGGCGGCUCGAGUGGUAACCGUUAUUAUUGGGUCUAAAGGGUCUGUAGCCGGCCGGAUAAGUCUCUUGAGAAAUCCAGCAGCUCAACUGUUGGGCUUUCAGGAGAUACUGUUCGGCUCGAGGCCGGGAGAGGUGAGAGGUACUUCAGGGGUAGGGGUGAAAGCUUGUAAUCCUUGAAGGACCACCAGUGGCGAAGGCGUCUCACCAGAACGGACCUGACGGCAAGGGACGAAAGCUAGGGGCACGAACCGG
Molecule: ribosomal RNA, 254 nt
Filed under: uncultured archaeon
Lineage: Archaea
Description: partial 16S ribosomal RNA
Rfam family: Archaeal small subunit ribosomal RNA
Source: RNAcentral